UGCAGUCGAGCGAGCUGAAUUCAAAGAUCCCUUCGGGGUGAUUUGUUGGACGCUAGCGGCGGAUGGGUGAGUAACACGUGGGCAAUCUGCCCUAAAGACUGGGAUACCACUUGGAAACAGGUGCUAAUACCGGAUAACAACAUGAAUCGCAUGAUUCAAGUUUGAAAGGCGGCGCAAGCUGUCACUUUAGGAUGAGCCCGCGGCGCAUUAGCUAGUUGGUGGGGUAAAGGCCUACCAAGGCAAUGAUGCGUAGCCGAGUUGAGAGACUGAUCGGCCACAUUGGGACUGAGACACGGCCCAAACUCCUACGGGAGGCAGCAGUAGGGAAUCUUCCACAAUGGACGCAAGUCUGAUGGAGCAACGCCGCGUGAGUGAAGAAGGUUUUCGGAUCGUAAAGCUCUGUUGUUGGUGAAGAAGGAUAGAGGCAGUAACUGGUCUUUAUUUGACGGUAAUCAACCAGAAAGUCACGGCUAACUACGUGCCAGCAGCCGCGGUAAUACGUAGGUGGCAAGCGUUGUCCGGAUUUAUUGGGCGUAAAGCGAGCGCAGGCGGAAUGAUAAGUCUGAUGUGAAAGCCCACGGCUCAACCGUGGAACUGCAUCGGAAACUGUCAUUCUUGAGUGCAGAAGAGGAGAGUGGAAUUCCAUGUGUAGCGGUGGAAUGCGUAGAUAUAUGGAAGAACACCAGUGGCGAAGGCGGCUCUCUGGUCUGCAACUGACGCUGAGGCUCGAAAGCAUGGGUAGCGAACAGGAUUAGAUACCCUGGUAGUCCAUGCCGUAAACGAUGAGCGCUAGGUGUUGGGGACUUUCCGGUUCUCAG
Molecule: ribosomal RNA, 818 nt
Filed under: Lactobacillus delbrueckii subsp. bulgaricus
Lineage: Bacteria; Bacillati; Bacillota; Bacilli; Lactobacillales; Lactobacillaceae
Description: bacterial SSU rRNA
Rfam family: Bacterial small subunit ribosomal RNA
Source: RNAcentral